This 58-nucleotide transfer RNA is filed under the name Salmo salar (Atlantic salmon). It matches the Rfam family "tRNA", at positions 8 to 63 of the family's 71-position model. From Rfam's summary of the family: Transfer RNA (tRNA) molecules are approximately 80 nucleotides in length. Lineage: Eukaryota; Metazoa; Chordata; Actinopteri; Salmoniformes; Salmonidae. The record is from Rfam by way of RNAcentral.
UGGCUCAGUUGGUAGAGCAUGGUGCUUGCAAUGUUAAGGUUGUGGGUUUGAUUCCCAC